Long non-coding RNA from Apis dorsata (giant honeybee), 3197 nucleotides. RefSeq lists it as uncharacterized. The record is from RefSeq and is a predicted model, not a curated record. Lineage: Eukaryota; Metazoa; Arthropoda; Insecta; Hymenoptera; Apidae. The transcript is spliced from 2 exons.
AGACUAUCCACGUCCAAUAAGGGAUGUUUUAAUGUCUCCAGCCAUUCGAAUAAUAAUCCUGAGAGGACAUCCAAGUCAGUUUCCAUCUGGAGCCUCUGCCAAGCUGUAGAUCUAUGAUUUAGAUCCAUCUAAAAAUCCACGUAAAAUGGCAUUAUCUCUGAUCAAAACUCUGAUGGCUUCGUCAGUGGUCACAGUUUGAAGAGUUGUAUUUUGAGCAGCAGCUUUUAAAUUCAUAUGAGAUUGAAUUUCCUUGUAACAAUUAUUGUCUACGAGAUCUUGUCCGUGAAUUCCAUCACCAAGAACAUCAUCCAUGCAACUAUCAUCUAAUACUAUAAAAAAAAAAAAAAAUAUUCCUUAUAAUACUUUGAAUCUCAGUUUCUCAGUUUAAAUCUUUUACUGAUUAAAUAACUUUAUUUCAGGUUGGACUACCUGGGAACACCGAAUCGCAAGAUGGAGUAUCAGGAGAGGUGCAGAACACAUCACUCAAUCUACCAAUAUCGUCCGAGGUACCUCUCGAAGAUGCUUGGCUGCCACUUGCACACGCUUUUAUAGAACCUAGACGAAAUCAAGAAUAAAUGGAAAAUUUUCAAACCCUCCGUGAUCUCGUAUUAAUCGUAUUAAAAAUUUUGUUUCUCUUUCGAUUUCUUACUGGAAUAGUCGUAAGAGUCAGCUAGAGACUCGGCCCAGGAAUAAGAGUGUCUAAUAUUCCCUUUACUGUCCCUCAGCUUUUCCAAAAUGUGAGAUAUAAAUUUUUGCGUGAAAGGCGUACUGGAGAUCGUAUACUUGAUCUCACAGGGAGAAUUAUCUUCUUGACAAUCGCACAGUUGAAGAAUCCGUUCGCAAAUCACGAACACGAUCUAAGGGAUUAAUUAAUUUCGUAAAUUUAAUGACAGAGAACCUCGCCUCGUCCCUCGAUUGAACACGUUUUGCAUCUUAUAAUUAAGAAAGAUAAAAAGAAACCUUUGGAAUAUGUUUGAAUGUGCGUUGCUCGUAUCCGUGCAAAACGUUGUGCUGCUUUUUGAGACACGAUUGCAGGCUGCAAGGCUUGCGAUCCCCUAUCGUGCUGUUCAAAGGGAAAACUAUCAUCUGUGGAAGCACAAAGUGCUCGAAAUCUUGGAUGCAUAGUAUCUGUCCACGCGUCUGGAUCGCGGAUGGCCGUUUCAUGCGAACGAACCGUAUCGCAUCGUUCGCUCGCACACGAAGACUGUAAAUAAGGUAGCACGCGAUCAGAACCCCGGUUCUGCCCAACCCUGAAAAAGAUACGUGUCCUAUAAAUUUGUCUGAACUUUGUACGAUUAAUUGCUUAGUCGACAAAUUUCCACGUAGCGUAGCGAUUGUCUCAGAUCCACGGUUAUUUGAACCGCUAUCAUUAUUUAAUCAUCAAUUUUUACCCCGUGGAAACAAAUCUAUGAUAUAGAAAAUAUUCCAUUUUUUAGAAAUACAAUCCAUUUAAUAUAUUUUUAUUAUUUUUCUACAUUCGUUUAUUUUUUCUUCUUUUUUAACGCGUUACAUUUCGUUGAAAAAUUUAAAUUUAUCUUGAAUUACUUAUUGUAUUCAUGAUGCAACAUCUCGAGUCCCGCACACAUUUGAGAAUUGAAAUAUUUAAUUGCUUAAAGGAUAGAUAAGGUCUCGGGUGUCUAUCGAUCGUGCCUAAUUCGAGAAAUAAAUUAUUCUGCUCGUGCUCUAACCGUGAAUCGGAAGCGGAACUUGUAAUCGUAGCCAACUGUGUUUCCGGGGUUAACAAGAGUUAUGACGUAUCCGACGAAUAAUCACUCGAUAAUAACCAUAAGCCGUUUCGUUUCGUUGGUGAACGUCCAUUUCUGGCCAAUCUGCGUAUCCACGAUGCGUAAUUAAGUUGGUGAGUCAUGCACACGCGAGGUACGCGCGGAAUUUUGGCUAUUCAAUUAAAUUGUCGCUUGAUAACGCUAUCGGGGAAUUGGUUGGUCAAAGAAUUUGAUCGCGAUAAACGUUCGACGCACAAAAGAAAUCGCGAAAGUAAAAUCAUUCCAAUUGCAAAAUUGUAUUUGGCCGAUUAUAUUCGUGUUUCUUUGUUAUAUUCCCGUUCACAGAUAGAAUUUUUAGAAAGAAAUGAAAUUAAAGAAUUUAUUAUUUAGGAAGGUUAUAAAUUAACGUAAUAAUACAAUAGAAAUCGAUUAAUUAUACAUUUUAAAUGAUGUUUUUCCUCUCUUUACAUCUCUUCCAUCUUUCGAUUCCUAUCUUAAUCAAUAUUGAUGUUUAUAUUGUUAUCUCUCUACCUGUUAUUCGCUGUCACGCGUUUUAAAAAUAGAUUAUAUUGAAAAUAGAUUACCUGUAUCUGAUUAAAUCCUUUAUCUAAUUAAUCUUAAAUUUAUAAUCGGAAAAUUAAUUAUUCAAAGUUAUUUAAUUAAUUUUCUAUAUUUAACUGUUCCUGUUAAUAUUUCUAUUUAUUUUUCAAUAAUUGUAUGGAUAUCGUACUUUUCGAAUGUCUUAAUAUUUACGAACGGGAGAGUAUAUUAUUCAGAAACAAAGUAACUUCGUGCGCAUAAUAACAAGUCUCGCAAGUAGAUCGAUUGUCAGAUGCGAGGAAAAUAUGAAGAAUAUGAAGAAAAUGUAACUUUUAUGAUCAUUAAAUAUUCAUUGCUUGCAGGCUCUUUAUUAUGGAAUAAACGAAUCGAUCGUAAGUUGCGUCGAGAUUUUCGAAUCUUUUAAAACAAUCGUUCGACGAUACGAUUUUGUCCCUCGUAUUCUCGAAGAAUAUUUUUAGAGAAACUUUCAGGGUUGAAAGAUAUAUAAAUAUAUAUAUAUAUAUAUAUAUCUUGAAAUAGGAUUGGUAAAUGUUACAAACCUCGAUGUUACGCCCCAAUUUCUUAUCACCGCCUAUCCAUUAUUCGUGUCCGUAAAUUUUGUUAAAGAAUUGAAACUGAAGAACCUUUAUGGUAGAGAAACACGCUUCCAUCCAAUUAGUCAUGGAAUCACGAGGAAAAGAGAGUGUUAAGUAUAUUGUUGGAUAUCUUCUGUUUAUUUCAAAAAAUAGUUCGAAUAUUUUAUCUUUUCUUUUUUUUUCUAUCAACAGGAAAGUUUCUCGUGCAACUUUCACGUUAAAAACGUGACCCUCUUUUAUAAUAGCCGAAUAACCUGCCAGUUCACCCUUCGUAUUUGCAUAUGUAACAGUGUUGAGGCUAUUGUAGCCAUAGUGAAAUAAACAAGUAUAAGUUUGA